Molecule: ribosomal RNA, 440 nt
Filed under: uncultured bacterium
Lineage: Bacteria
Description: bacterial SSU rRNA
Rfam family: Bacterial small subunit ribosomal RNA
Source: RNAcentral
CUACGGGAGGCAGCAGUGGGGAAUAUUGGGCAAUGGAGGCAACUCUGACCCAGCCAUGCCGCGUGGGUGACGAAGGUCUUCGGAUUGUAAAGCCCUUUCGGCGGAGACGAUGAUGACGGUAUCCGCAGAAGAAGCCCCGGCUAACUUCGUGCCAGCAGCCGCGGUAAUACGAAGGGGGCUAGCGUUGUUCGGAAUUACUGGGCGUAAAGGGCGUGUAGGCGGCCCGUUAAGUCAGGUGUGAAAGGCCUGGGCUCAACCCAGGAAAUGCGCCUGAGACUGGCGGGCUUGAAUCCGGGAGAGGAUGGUGGAACUCCCAGUGUAGAGGUGAGAUUCGUAGAUAUUGGGAAGAACACCCGUGGCGAAGGCGGCCAUCUGGACCGGUAUUGACGCUAAGGCGCGACAGCGUGGGGAGCAAACAGGAUUAGAAACCCCAGUAGUCC